Non-coding RNA from Taeniopygia guttata (zebra finch), 985 nucleotides. The record is from RefSeq and is a predicted model, not a curated record. NCBI's taxonomy places the organism in Eukaryota, Metazoa, Chordata, Aves, Passeriformes, Estrildidae.
UGAGCUGCGUGCCCUUCCCGGGAUGCGGUGGUGCCCUUCCCGGGAUGCGGUGGUGCCCUUCCCGGGAUGAGCUGCGUGCCCUUCCCGGGAUGAGCUGCGUGCCCUUCCCGGGAUGAGAGGGUCCCGCUCGGCCUGAGCCCCUGCCUGUCUCUCACAACCAUGGGAGUCUCUUCAGCGGUUCAGUGCUGGUAAUUUGCCGGAAAUACGCUAGAUGUCAGUUGCCUAAAGAACGCCACGCUGCAAAGCUCAGAGCACUCAAACCCAUGGCUGCCUCUCCAGACAGGCACAGGAAGGCACAAAAAGCUCUUCACUCACCACAACCACGUUUUAUGGACCAAGAAAGUGCAAGUGUCAUCCAAGUCUCAGCUGUCCAUUCUACAAAAUCUGGCAGAAAUAGCCUGAGGAGGAACCCAGGAUCUGCAGAGCAGAAUUCAGGGAACGACUGGUGACAGUACCAGGAACCUGCAACGAGUGCCAGGAAACACAGACUGGAGAACACCAAGUGAAACCCCUGAGAAUACACCUUGUACUGUGAGCAGAUCAGUUCAAAGGGUGAGGGGAUGGGAACUCAGAACGCCAGCUCAAGUGAAGCACAACAAAAUAUCCAGUGGAUGGGGCAGGUUAUUUCUGGAACGUGAUCAACUUAAUGAGUAUAUCGUUAAAUACUAUUUCCUUUUAUGUUUGGGCAUCUCUUCAGCCACCUUCACAAGGUUUUUUAGUCUUUAAUUGGUUCUUUGAAGUGAACACCAACUACUGUAGCAGCUUACAAGAUUUUAAGGCUCUGUGUUUAUUGUACCUUUAUGUAAUGGGCUUUUAGAAAUGGAGAUACUUAUAGUAGAAGUUUAAGAUAAAAUUUGAUUUUAAGGUACUGCAUGCCCAGCCCAUUAAUGUGCAUUUAGGAGCAGGACUUAGGUCUUGGUAGGUAGGUAAGAGACACUUUGAUGUUUUACCUAUAGUGCCUGAAAAACAAUGAGUACCGUGUUAG